Molecule: unclassified non-coding RNA, 412 nt
Filed under: Hevea brasiliensis (rubber tree)
Lineage: Eukaryota; Viridiplantae; Streptophyta; Magnoliopsida; Malpighiales; Euphorbiaceae
Source: RNAcentral
AAGAACGUCAAUUCAUUUUCAAAAAAACUGUCUUCUUCCUGAAACUUCUCCCUCUGAUAACCUGUGUCCCUUCUCUUGACAACCACUUCACCACCAUCUGGUAGUUUCCCUAUAUAAACAACAAAAGAAAGCGCUAUUCCAAUCCUGUUCUCUAUUGAGAAACCAUUGGUUGCAGCAGCAAGCUGAGCCAGAGUAAGUUCCUCUGCUCUGUUUAGUCUCCUUACAUGUGGGUUUGGCCUUUUUUGUGUAGUAUUUCCUGAGAGUCUAGAAUACAAUAGACCAAAGGCAAAGAUUAUAGGCCAAACUGAUACUUUGAUGGGAAUAUCCGCAUGCAGACAAAAAAAAGCAUAUGAUAUUGCAGCAAAAACGCAUUGAAAAGCAGCACAAGCUAAUCCAAUAAUGUCAGGAAAUG